GCUUGUCUCAAAGAUUAAGCCAUGCAUGUCUAUGUAUAAACAAGUAUACUGUGAAACUGCGAAUGGCUCAUUAAAUCAGUUAUAGUUUAUUUGAUAGUACCUUACUACUUGGAUAACCGUGGUAAUUCUAGAGCUAAUACAUGCUAAAAAACCCGACUUCUGGAAGGGUUGUAUUUAUUAGAUAACAGACCAAUAUUCCUCGUGUCUAUUGUGGUGAAUCAUAGUAACUAAUCGGAUCGCAUGGGCUAGUCCCGCGACAAACCAUUCAAGUUUCUGCCCCAUCAGCUUUCGAUGGUAGUGUAUUGGACUACCAUGGCUUUUACGGGUAACGGAGGAUUAGGGUUCGAUUCCGGAGAGGGAGCCUGAGAAACGGCUACCACAUCUAAGGAAGGCAGCAGG
Molecule: ribosomal RNA, 399 nt
Filed under: uncultured Strobilidiidae
Lineage: Eukaryota; Ciliophora; Spirotrichea; Choreotrichida; Strobilidiidae
Description: partial small subunit ribosomal RNA
Rfam family: Eukaryotic small subunit ribosomal RNA
Source: RNAcentral